CAGAGAUCCUCUGCCACCUGAGCUCAGGCCCUGGCUCUGGCCACCAGACUGCUUCCUCCAGUGGCCUGGGUGCCUCCAACCCACUGUGCUCAAAUGAUCUCGGGUCCCAGUCCUGUCCUGCCAGAGGCAGGCCCAGCCCCACCUCAGAUGCUGAGGCAGUUGUGGAGCAAGGCAUGGCCUCCACCAGGGCUGGGGCGGGGCUGGGAGCCGCAGGGGAGCAGGUGGCUCCUGGCUCCACUGUGCCUUGUGCCCAGCACCCAGGCCGGGCCAGGGUUUCCCUUCUGGGGCUGCUUAGGAGGAAACUGCCCAGUGAGACCCUGCUGACCGGCGCAGGUUGGAGCCCCAGAGCAGACUCAUCUGUCCCGCCUGUCUUUGGGGAGAUGAGCUGGCCUCAGGCCUACUGAGGGGGGGGGUCCUCCAGGAGGAAGCUCACGCCUAUCUGGGCACCAGGCAGGUGAGGGCAGCCAGCCUCAGCCCGAGCAUCAACAGAGGCGGUGGACAGCCGAUGUGUGGGGAAGGGGCCUGAGCCGCCCAACCCAGCCCAGCCAUUAGCUGGGAGCCGAAGAGGCUGAUGCACAGACACAGGCCUCAGGACGGCCAAGGGAACGCUGCCGGCCAGCCCCAGGGAGAAGCCAGGCUUGGGCUAUGGGGAGUGGGCUCCGUUCCACCAGGUCACUGAGACCCUAGCCAAGCCACUAGGCUGUCUGAGGACCAGGAUGGGGCCUGUAUCUGUCCCUCACAUCUCACCCCCGAGGCAAGUG
Molecule: long non-coding RNA, 761 nt
Organism: Tupaia belangeri chinensis (Chinese tree shrew)
Lineage: Eukaryota; Metazoa; Chordata; Mammalia; Scandentia; Tupaiidae
Exons: 2
Source: RefSeq, a predicted model, not a curated record